RNAcentral lists this ribosomal RNA (477 nucleotides) under uncultured Flavobacterium sp. RNAcentral's name for it is "partial 16S ribosomal RNA". Lineage: Bacteria; Pseudomonadati; Bacteroidota; Flavobacteriia; Flavobacteriales; Flavobacteriaceae. The record is from RNAcentral.
CACGGAGUUAGCCGAUCCUUAUUCUUACGGUACCGUCAAGCCUCUUCACGAAGAGGUGUUUCUUCCCGUACAAAAGCAGUUUACACACCAUAGAUGCUUCAUCCUGCACGCGGCAUGGCUGGUUCAGGCUUGCGCCCAUUGACCAAUAUUCCUCACUGCUGCCUCCCGUAGGAGUCUGGUCCGUGUCUCAGUACCAGUGUGAGGGAUCUCCCUCUCAGGACCCCUACCCAUCAUAGCCUUGGUAUGCCGUUACCAUACCAACUAGCUAAUGGGACGCAUGCUCAUCUUACACCAAUAAAUCUUUAAUAAUAAUGUGAUGCCACAUCAAUAUACUAUAAGGUAUUAAUCCAAAUUUCUCUGGGCUAUCCCUUAGUGUAAGGCAGAUUGCAUACGCGUUACGCACCCGUGCGCCGGUCUCAAAAUCCGAAGACUUCUACCCCUCGACUUGCAUGUGUUAGGCCUGCCGCUAGCGUUCAU